UACAGAGGUGGCAAACGUUGUCCGGAUUUAUUGGGUGUAAAGGGCAUGUAGGCGGUCUUGUAAGUCAAAGGUGAAAUGGCCCGGCUUAACCAGGUCAUUGCCUUUGAAACUGCAGGGCUUGAGUACGGAAGAGGAAAGCGGAAUUCCCAGUGUAGCGGUGAAAUGCGUAGAUAUCAGGAGGAACACCGGUGGUGUAGACGGC
This 202-nucleotide ribosomal RNA is filed under the name uncultured prokaryote. Its description in RNAcentral is "partial 16S ribosomal RNA". It matches the Rfam family "Bacterial small subunit ribosomal RNA", at positions 524 to 725 of the family's 1533-position model. The record is from RNAcentral.